Molecule: ribosomal RNA, 253 nt
Filed under: uncultured bacterium
Lineage: Bacteria
Description: partial 16S ribosomal RNA
Rfam family: Bacterial small subunit ribosomal RNA
Source: RNAcentral
GACAGGGGGCUCGAGCGUUAAUCGGAAUUACUGGGCGUAAAGCGUGCGCAGGCGGUUCGCUAAGACAGAUGUGAAAUCCCCGGGCUUAACCUGGGAACUGCAUUUGUGACUGGCGGGCUAGAGUAUGGCAGAGGGGGGUAGAAUUCCACGUGUAGCAGUGAAAUGCGUAGAGAUGUGGAGGAAUACCGAUGGCGAAGGCAGCCCCCUGGGCCAAUACUGACGCUCAUGCACGAAAGCGUGGGGAGCAAACAGG